GGAUAAUCGGGAGAAAUCCCGUCUAAUACCGCGUAACGCCGCGGGGCUGCAUGGCCCUGCGGCCAAAGGGAGCGAUUCCGGCAACGGAUGGGCAUGCGUGACAUUAGCUAGUUGGCGGGGCAACGGCCCACCAAGGCGACGAUGUCUAGGGGUUCUGAGAGGAAGGUCCCCCACACUGGUACUGAGACACGGACCAGACUCCUACGGGAGGCAGCAGUGAGGAAUAUUGGUCAAUGGGCGCGAGCCUGAACCAGCCAAGUCGCGUGAGGGAUGACGGCCCUACGGGUUGUAAACCUCUUUUGUCGGGGAGCAAAUUCCGCCACGUGUGGCGGAGUCGAGAGUACCCGAAGAAAAAGCAUCGGCUAACUCCGUGCCAGCAGCCGCGGUAAUACGGAGGAUGCGAGCGUUAUCCGGAUUUAUUGGGUUUAAAGGGUGCGUAGGCGGACUGUCAAGUCAGCGGUAAAAUACGGGGGCUCAACCUCCGCCCGCCGUUGAAACUGACGGUCUUGAGUGGGCGAGAAGUAUGCGGAAUGCGUGGUGUAGCGGUGAAAUGCAUAGAUAUCACGCAGAACUCCGAUUGCGAAGGCAGCAUACCGGCGCCCAACUGACGCUGAAGCACGAAAGCGUGGGUAUCGAACAGGAUUAGAUACCCUGGUAGUCCACGCAGUAAACGAUGAAUAAUAGCUGUCCGGG
This 693-nucleotide ribosomal RNA is filed under the name uncultured bacterium. RNAcentral's name for it is "bacterial SSU rRNA". It matches the Rfam family "Bacterial small subunit ribosomal RNA", at positions 141 to 828 of the family's 1533-position model. The record is from RNAcentral.